This 778-nucleotide ribosomal RNA is filed under the name Turicibacter sanguinis. RNAcentral describes it as "bacterial SSU rRNA". It matches the Rfam family "Bacterial small subunit ribosomal RNA", at positions 1 to 808 of the family's 1533-position model. Lineage: Bacteria; Bacillati; Bacillota; Erysipelotrichia; Erysipelotrichales; Turicibacteraceae. The record is from RNAcentral.
UAUAUUUGAGAGUUUGAUCCUGGCUCAGGAUGAACGCUGGCGGCGUGCCUAACACAUGCAAGUCGAGCGAACCCUUCGGGGUGAGCGGCGGACGGGUGAGUAACGCGUGGGUAACCUGCCCUGUACACACGGAUAACAUACCGAAAGGUAUGCUAAUACGGGAUAACAUAUGAGAGUCGCAUGGCUUUCAUAUCAAAGCUCCGGCGGUACAGGAUGGACCCGCGUCUGAUUAGCUAGUUGGUAAGGUAACGGCUUACCAAGGCAACGAUCAGUAGCCGACCUGAGAGGGUGAUCGGCCACAUUGGAACUGAGACACGGUCCAAACUCCUACGGGAGGCAGCAGUGGGGAAUAUUGCACAAUGGGCGAAAGCCUGAUGCAGCAACGCCGCGUGAGCGAUGAAGGCCUUCGGGUCGUAAAGCUCUGUCCUCAAGGAAGAUAAUGACGGUACUUGAGGAGGAAGCCCCGGCUAACUACGUGCCAGCAGCCGCGGUAAUACGUAGGGGGCUAGCGUUAUCCGGAAUUACUGGGCGUAAAGGGUGCGUAGGCGGUCUUUCAAGCCAGAAGUGAAAGGCUACGGCUCAACCGUAGUAAGCUUUUGGAACUGUAGGACUUGAGUGCAGGAGAGGAGAGUGGAAUUCCUAGUGUAGCGGUGAAAUGCGUAGAUAUUAGGAGGAACACCAGUAGCGAAGGCGGCUCUCUGGACUGUAACUGACGCUGAGGCACGAAAGCGUGGGGAGCAAACAGGAUUAGAUACCCUGGUAGUCCACGCCGUAAACG